CGGAUACUAAUAAUUCUCAAGGGGAGCACCUGGGCUCUAGCGAAAUGACUACUGUCGAUGCUUGAGGUGGGUCUGUCGUUUUCAUAUGUUCUUUUUAUCGUAUGUUUGAUGUUACCAAGUAUUUUUGUUUGAAACUGUCAUUGGUGUGCAUCUCCAAAGUUUUUUAGGGUAGUUAGAGAUUACUUUGCUGAGUUUGAUGUUGAUGUUACGACUUUCCUUGAAACUCGAGUUAAUGGUAUGAAGGCAGAUGGAACCAUAGCUAAAAUCGGGUUGGAUUGCUCUCACAGAAUUGAAUCUAGAGGUUUUUCUGGGGGUUUAUGGAUUUGUUGGAAAAAUAGCAUUCAGGUUCAGAUUAUCCUAAAUGAUCCACAGUUUAUUCAUUGUCGUUUGGGGAAGAACAGGGGCUCUAUGAAUGUAUUAGUAACUUUUGUUUAUGGUUUUCCAGACAAACAAGAACACAAAAUCUUAUGGGACUGGUUAGAGCAAAUUGCUUACUCCAUCAACAAGUCUUACGACACCCCAAGUUGGUUCGGUCCGGGUCAAUGACGACUCGGUUGGUCCGGUCUAGCCACCGGUUGGAUUGUCGGUCCGGUUUCACAUACCGAACUCGGUUUAACCAGUUUUUGGGUCUUGGUCUGGGUUUUGGGCUCCCGAACUCAAUUUACAAUCUUAGGUCUAAUUUUCAAAUUCAA
This 692-nucleotide long non-coding RNA is filed under the name Gossypium barbadense (sea-island cotton). Its description in RNAcentral is "long non-coding RNA (GBAR_LNC022279)". Lineage: Eukaryota; Viridiplantae; Streptophyta; Magnoliopsida; Malvales; Malvaceae. The record is from RNAcentral.